UCCCCCCCCCCCACCACGCCGUGCGUGGGGACACGGUGUGGGGACACGGCCCGGGCGCGUGUGCGUGGGGACACGGUACGCGGGUCCCUCGUGGGGGCGUGGGAUGGUCCCUUUGCACGGGGACACAGUAUGGGACAUGAUGCGGGGACAUGGUACGGCCACCCCCUCUCCCCCCCCCCCGACACGUGGGGACACGGUGUGGGGACACGGCCCGGCCACGUUUGCGUGGGGAGAUGGCACGUGGGUCCCUUGGCGUGGGGAAGUGGCGUGGGGAAGUGGCAUGGGGACAUGGGAUGGUCCCUUCACGUGGGGACACGGCAUGGGGACAUGGCAUGGCUGCCUUCCCUGUGGGGCAUGGCAUGGGGACACAGCAUGGCCCCCUUUGCACAGGGGUGGGGGGGGACAGGACACCGUGGGGGGGACAGGACACACCGGGUGGGUCUCUUGUGUGCUGGGACGUGGCAGGGUGCCCUUCCAUGUGCCACACUGUGUGGGGACACAACAGGCCCCCCGCCCCCCCACUUUUGCCUGGGGACAUGCUGUGGCACAAGGGCACGCUAUGGACCCCUUCCCCUGGGGUGACGGGCGUGGGGGCAUGGCACAGCCCCCUUUGCAGGGGCGUGGGGACACGACACGUCCCCCUCUGCCCCCCGGCCCCUUCUCCAACCCCCAGCGCUCCUUGGCUGAGCUCCCGCUGAGGCCGGACAAACUCAUUGCUGGGAUAACGGUGCUGGGCCGGGCCCCCGUCGUCCCCCCCCCGGCCUGGAAAUCCCCUGGGGGCGGCGCCGGGGGAAGCCCUGGCAGCCCUGUCCUGAACGGGGCACAGACACCCACGGCCACCCGCAGCCCUCGGGGACCACCCGGGGCACACGUGGGGCCAUCCCUAUCCCGCGGCCCCCCGGGCCCGGAGCGGGUGCCCUCCCUGGGGGGCUGCAGCCCAGGCACCCGCCUGCCCUGGGGCUGCAGCCGGGGCUCUCUCCCCCCAGAUCCCCUCUUGCAGUGCAGGAAGGGGGGGGUCCCGCACCCCCCCGGGAGCGCGUCCCUGCCGGCACCCCGUGAUGGCCCCGGGACCUGCUGCCUCCCCGCAGCCAGCCGGAGAGGAGAAGCCAGCGGGGAUGGCCGGGGAGGGGGACUGACCCCCCAUCCAUGGCAGGGGACAACCGCCCGGGGCUACCGGAGAGCAGCCCAGCGCCCGGGGCCUGCGCCUGUCCCUCGCCCCCCCGCCGCGCACACCCCAGCCCCGCAGGCUCCCGGCGAGCCCCGGCCAUGUAGGUGCAGCCGGGGUGGGGGGGCUCCGCCGACGGCCGCCGUCGACAUGCAGCCGGGCUACGCGGCCGUCCUGUGUGUCCUGGCCGUGCUGGGGCUGGAGGCUGCUGCGCCGGGAGAAUGCGAGCUCAGCCGCCUGCUGCAGGACAAGCUGCAGUACGAGAUGCGCCUGCAGUACAUGAAACACAACUUCCCCAUCGACUACACGGUCCAGGUCCAGUACGAAGAGGUGCUGAGGCCAUCCAACAUCACCCGCCUGCGCAACGGGACGGUGUCGGAGGCGGCACUGCGGUACCUCUGGUUCCACGUCAGCUCCCAGGCGGUGCUGCGGAUCCGUGAGGUGCUGCCAGAGAAGCACCCAUCCUGGAAGUACACCCAGGAGCUGGGCCAGCUCUUCGACGCCCUGGGCAAGGAGUACAGCAAGUACCGGCAGACGGACGUGGAGGCGGUGGUGGCCGACCUGGUGAAGCUGGUGCACAGCGCGGGCGCCGAGAGCCGGAGGAAGGCCGUGCGCCCCAAGGCGCUGCUGGACAACUGCCUCAAGGUCAUGCGGAUGCUCUACGGGGCACCUUGUAAUUCUCCAGUGCUCAGCGUCGCCGCUCUGCUUCCAGCCAGGGGGGGUCCCGGGAGCUCCCAGCCUUUCCCCAAAUAAAGGGCCAGCAGAGAGAACCCCAGCUGCCUCCUCUGCCUCCUCUUUUUGGGGUGUCGGUCCCCUCCCCUGACUUGGCGGGGGACAUAUUUCCCCCCACCCCCCCAUAGAGGAGACCUCCAGGGCCACCUCCUGCCGAGCCGCCUCCGUCAGCCCCGGCCGCUUCCCCGGCAAGAAAACAUCUGGAUUUGUUUGUUAUGCUUGGCGGCGCGGCGCGCCGGAGGGGCUGGGGGCUGGCCGGCUGCCUCCCCCCCCACGCCUUCCCCCAGCUUAAUUAACUUAAUCAGCUAUUAGAGCCCUUAAUUGGUGUAUUCCAGGCUGCGGGGCUGCUUAGGAUUGCAAGCCUAGGAGAACGUGCAGCUUCAAAAAUGUCAGCGGAGGGCGGGCGCGGAAAGGAAAGGCACUCACGCGACGGCGGGAACCGGAGCCCGGAUACACCAUGAGACGAGAUGGAGUCGGGCCAGGGCAAGGUGCUGAGGUCCCGGAAGCCAUCCCCAGGGACAUGCAAGGACUUGGGACAGGCUCCCGCUGUGAAACCCCCAGCUGAUGGAAAUGGAAGAGCCUUCGCUGGCCUUGAACCAGCAGGAAAAAAAGCCCGCCAGCGUCCUCGGGGUGGGCAAGGAAAGGACGACUGGUUUUGGAGGAGCUGGGCUUUUGGAAAGAUGCUCCAUGGCCGUCGUUUUGGGGCUGUCUAGGAGGCCACCGGUCCCCAGAGGCCACUUUGCAGUGUGGGGCCGUAUCCAGCCCUGCCUCUCCGGCAGCGUGAGGAUGCCCCAGCAGAGCCUGGCACCGGGAUGCAGGACUUGGAGCAUCCUUCCCUCUGCUGCCCUGGCAUCAGCAUCCUUGGGGAGGGUGGGGUGGGGGUGGGGGCAACGAUCCCAACUCUCACCCCCCGCAAGCCAGGGGUCCCUGCCCUCACCCCACAGAACCAGAACGAGCCUGGAAAUGGCCAUGAAUUAACUUUACUGAGCUCAGCGUGUGCCGCGGGCGGGCGCCGCGCUCACCAGGGCAGGCUCUGCCCUCUCCAGUCCCAGAAGGUGCCGUUGCUGGUGGCCGAGAGCCCGGCCAGCAGCCGUAGGACGCCCUGCACGCUCUCCUC
This is an RNA transcript of Chroicocephalus ridibundus (black-headed gull), 3014 nucleotides long. It is a transcript of the gene named interleukin 34, with no coding region annotated. NCBI's taxonomy places the organism in Eukaryota, Metazoa, Chordata, Aves, Charadriiformes, Laridae. The record is from RefSeq and is a predicted model, not a curated record. The transcript is spliced from 7 exons.